Molecule: long non-coding RNA, 908 nt
Filed under: Mustela putorius furo (domestic ferret)
Lineage: Eukaryota; Metazoa; Chordata; Mammalia; Carnivora; Mustelidae
Description: lncRNA (ENSMPUG00000029991.1)
Source: RNAcentral
CGUUCGCAAUGGCGACCACUCCCUCUUCCUGGAAGCAGCCCCCGCCUGCUCCGGCGCCCCCUGGGUCUUCUCCUGUCCCCCAGCCACGGCCUCUACCAGCUCGUCCCAUGUUGGGUCCUGGAUGUCCUCUCUUCUCUCCCCACUGUCUCUCUCCCGAGCCCCUUCUUCCUCUCCUGCAGAUCCACGUACCAUCUCUAUGUCACUCACCCCCAAAUUCACGGCCCAGCCAAGCCUUUCCCUCUGAACCUAAACACACACAUCCGGCACCGCCUCUGGGAUGUCUCCGGGAUCUGAGGACCCACCACUGGCUGCAGGGGGUGGACGGUGAAACUGGAGAAGGCACAAGAUGUCCGUUGACGGCUGUGUGUGCUGGAGCAGCAGGGCCCAGAGCAAGCAAGGAGAGAGCUGUUCUCAGAAGGAGAAUCAAAACCGCUGCGGCUCACCAUCAUGUGGACACAUCAUAGGUCAAGAAGGUGCCUCUUUUGGAAAAGGUUCUCAGAAGGCCCUCUCACCAGACUCUACCUGCCAUGUGACCAGGCAAGAGGUGUGGGGACCAGUUAUCCCUGCCGCACCACUCCAAGGUGGCUGUCACAGUGGAUUAUACCCGCAGCCCCCACACCAGCCUUGUCUGCCUAGACAGACCAGAGGCCGGCCUGGAAACAAGAUGGCCCUGCAAAGGGCAGUGACGUGCAAGACACGAUGCCACCUGCUGGUGGACGUCGGCAUGGCAGGCAGCCACCAAGCUCCUUCCCCCGGAACCGGUAGCAGGUGUGUUAGGGCCCUGCCUUUGCUUCUUGAUGGUGGGGCAUAAAGUCUUGUUUUCUUUUUUCUUUUUUUCUUUUUCUGUACAUUUCCUUCACUCCAAAAAUGUUGCCUCAUGUGCUUUUCUGGCCAUCUCCAUCGCCCUG